This 796-nucleotide long non-coding RNA is filed under the name Mus musculus (house mouse). RNAcentral's name for it is "predicted gene, 52298, transcript variant 2 (Gm52298)". Lineage: Eukaryota; Metazoa; Chordata; Mammalia; Rodentia; Muridae. The record is from RNAcentral.
AGGGAAGGGGCGGCAGCGAGCUCGCCAGGCGGCCAGGAACCCGGGUGGGGCCGGGACCGAGGCGGUGGCUGGCCAGCGGAGCUCAGGCCGGGCGCGGCGCGCCGGGUGAAGGCGGCAAGGCGGCAAGGCCCCGGCCGAGGCCGGCGGAGCCGCGCAGCUGCGGCCGGCUGACGUGAGCGGCGUGCGGGUCCCGGCCGGCAGCGCGCUGGCGGCCAUGGCGGUGGCGCUGGCGGGCCGCGGGGCGCGCGGCGGCAGGGGCCGGCCCCCGGGCGGGCGGGCGGAGGGGGCGGGGCCGGGGCGCCGGGCGGCCCGCGCGACAGCGGCGGCGAAGACGACGGAGACGGGGGGCGCUGGGGCUGAUGACAGCGGCCGGGCCCGGGGCGGCGCCGUCCCCGCGGCGGUGCGACAGCGACCCGGCCUCCCCCGGAGCGCAGUCCCCAAAGAAAAACAGUAAUAGAAAGCAAGAGAUCUGAAGUUCUGUGUUCAUCCAUGAGGAUUCUCACACUCACGUCGCCGAGGGCUCGCUCCAGACAGGAAGCUAGUUUCAUCACGCCGAGGGAGACGGCAGCAGGCUGCGAGCUUUGCAAGGCAUCAAGUAUCUCAAGAAACAACUAUUCAGAGGAAGACACACACUCGAGCUCAGAUUCAGUGAAAGAUGUUUCUCAAAGCAACAAUAAUGUUUAUUCAAUUACUAUUUCCGCACUCAAGCCUCUUAAGAUUUGAAGGUUUAAAACUUUCGGAAUAAAAAGAGUUUAUAUUGGAAAUACUAUAAUAAAGGAAAUUAUCUAACACCUAA